RNAcentral lists this ribosomal RNA (253 nucleotides) under uncultured bacterium. RNAcentral's name for it is "partial 16S ribosomal RNA". It matches the Rfam family "Bacterial small subunit ribosomal RNA", at positions 524 to 776 of the family's 1533-position model. The record is from RNAcentral.
UACGAGGGGGGCAAGCGUUGUUCGGAAUUAUUGGGCGUAAAGGGCGCGUAGGCGGUUUGACAAGUCUGAUGUGAAAUCUCUGGGCUCAACCCAGAGUCUGCAUUAGAAACUGUCGGGCUUGAGUAUGGGAGAGGUGAGUGGAAUUUCCGGUGUAGCGGUGAAAUGCGUGGAUAUCGGAAGGAACACCUGUGGCGAAAGCGGCUCACUGGACCAUAACUGACGCUGAGGCGCGAAAGCUAGGGGAGCAAACAGG